GGAUCCCGAGGAUCCGGGAGGGAUUCCCGGGAAUUCCAGGGGGGAUUCCAGCUGGGAUUUCAGGAGGGAUUCCCAAAGAUUCCAGCUGGGAUUCAAGGAGAGAUCCCAAGGAUCCGGGAGGGAUUCAAGGGGAGAUUCCCAAGGAUUCCAGCUGGGAUUCCAGGAGGGAUUUCAGGAGGGAUUCCCAAAGAUUCCAGGAGGGAUUCCCGAGGAUUCCCGAGGAUUCCAGGAGGGAUUCCCGAGGAUUCCAGCCAGGAAUCCUGGCGGGAUUCCAGGGCACAAUUCCCAAGGAUCCUGGGUGGGAAUUUCAGCUGGGAU
Molecule: long non-coding RNA, 318 nt
Filed under: Zonotrichia albicollis (white-throated sparrow)
Lineage: Eukaryota; Metazoa; Chordata; Aves; Passeriformes; Passerellidae
Description: lncRNA (ENSZALG00000002070.1)
Source: RNAcentral